UACUCCUACGGGAGGCAGCAGUAGGGAAUCUUCCACAAUGGACGCAAGUCUGAUGGAGCAACGCCGCGUGAGUGAAGAAGGCUUUCGGGUCGUAAAACUCUGUUGUUGGAGAAGAAUGGUCGGCAGAGUAACUGUUGUCGGCGUGACGGUAUCCAACCAGAAAGCCACGGCUAACUACGUGCCAGCAGCCGCGGUAAUACGUAGGUGGCAAGCGUUAUCCGGAUUUAUUGGGCGUAAAGCGAGCGCAGGCGGUUUUUUAAGUCUGAUGUGAAAGCCCUCGGCUUAACCGAGGAAGUGCAUCGGAAACUGGGAAACUUGAGUGCAGAAGAGGACAGUGGAACUCCAUGUGUAGCGGUGAAAUGCGUAGAUAUAUGGAAGAACACCAGUGGCGAAGGCGGCUGUCUGGUCUGUAACUGACGCUGAGGCUCGAAAGCAUGGGUAGCGAACAGGAUUAGAUACCCUGGUAGUCCAUGCCGUAAACGAUGAAUGCUAGGUGUUGGAGGGUUUCCGCCCUUCAGUGCCGCAGCUAACGCAUUAAGCAUUCCGCCUGGGGAGUACGACCGCAAGGUUGAAACUCAAAUGAAUUGACGGA
RNAcentral lists this ribosomal RNA (592 nucleotides) under uncultured bacterium. RNAcentral's name for it is "bacterial SSU rRNA". It matches the Rfam family "Bacterial small subunit ribosomal RNA", at positions 334 to 917 of the family's 1533-position model. The record is from RNAcentral.